This 465-nucleotide ribosomal RNA is filed under the name Vreelandella stevensii. RNAcentral describes it as "partial 16S ribosomal RNA". It matches the Rfam family "Bacterial small subunit ribosomal RNA", at positions 338 to 795 of the family's 1533-position model. The record is from RNAcentral. Lineage: Bacteria; Pseudomonadati; Pseudomonadota; Gammaproteobacteria; Oceanospirillales; Halomonadaceae.
CCUACGGGUGGCUGCAGUGGGGAAUAUUGGACAAUGGGGGGAACCCUGAUCCAGCCAUGCCGCGUGUGUGAAGAAGGCCCUCGGGUUGUAAAGCACUUUCAGUGAGGAAGAACGCCUGGUGGUUAAUACCCAUCAGGAAAGACAUCACUCACAGAAGAAGCACCGGCUAACUCCGUGCCAGCAGCCGCGGUAAUACGGAGGGUGCGAGCGUUAAUCGGAAUUACUGGGCGUAAAGCGCGCGUAGGUGGCUUGAUAAGCCGGUUGUGAAAGCCCCGGGCUCAACCUGGGAAUAGCAUCCGGAACUGUCAAGCUAGAGUGCAGGAGAGGAAGGUAGAAUUCCCGGUGUAGCGGUGAAAUGCGUAGAGAUCGGGAGGAAUACCAGUGGCGAAGGCGGCCUUCUGGACUGACACUGACACUGAGGUGCGAAAGCGUGGGUAGCAAACAGGAUUAGAUACCCUGGUAGUC